UGUUUCGACACACUAUCAUGUCAUGAAUACAUAGUGGCAUGAGGCGAACCGGGGGAACUGAAACAUCUAAGUACCCCGAGGAAAAGAAAUCAACCGAGAUUCCCCCAGUAGCGGCGAGCGAACGGGGAGGAGCCCAGAACCUGAAUCGGCUUGUGUGUUAGUGGAAGCGUCUGGAAAGUCGCGCAGCAAAGGGUGAUAGCCCCGUACACUAAAAUGCACAGGUCGUGAGUUCGAUGAGUAGGGCGGGACACGUGACAUCCUGUCUGAAUAUGGGGGGACCAUCCUCCAAGGCUAAAUACUCCUGACUGACCGAUAGUGAACCAGUACCGUGAGGGAAAGGCGAAAAGAACCCCGGCGAGGGGAGUGAAAUAGA
This 373-nucleotide ribosomal RNA is filed under the name Serratia marcescens. RNAcentral describes it as "bacterial LSU rRNA". It matches the Rfam family "Bacterial large subunit ribosomal RNA", at positions 136 to 547 of the family's 2925-position model. The record is from RNAcentral. Lineage: Bacteria; Pseudomonadati; Pseudomonadota; Gammaproteobacteria; Enterobacterales; Yersiniaceae.